RNAcentral lists this ribosomal RNA (740 nucleotides) under uncultured bacterium. RNAcentral describes it as "bacterial SSU rRNA". It matches the Rfam family "Bacterial small subunit ribosomal RNA", at positions 68 to 803 of the family's 1533-position model. The record is from RNAcentral.
GGCAGCGCGGGGGCAACCCUGGCGGCGAGCGGCGAACGGGUGAGUAAUACAUCGGAACGUGUCCAGUAGCGGGGGAUAACCUGUCGAAAGAUAGGCUAAUACCGCAUACGAUCUACGGAUGAAAGCGGGGGACCGCAAGGCCUCGCACUGUUGGAGCGGCCGAUGUCGGAUUAGCUAGUUGGCGGGGUAAAAGCCCACCAAGGCGACGAUCCGUAGCUGGUCUGAGAGGACGACCAGCCACACUGGAACUGAGACACGGUCCAGACUCCUACGGGAGGCAGCAGUGGGGAAUUUUGGACAAUGGGGGCAACCCUGAUCCAGCCAUGCCGCGUGAGUGAAGAAGGCCUUCGGGUUGUAAAGCUCUUUCGGCGGGGACGAAACGAUUCGUGACAACACCACGAACUAAUGACGGUACUCGCAGAAGAAGCACCGGCUAACUACGUGCCAGCAGCCGCGGUAAUACGUAGGGUGCAGGCGUUAAUCAGAAUUACUGGGCGUAAAGCGUGCGCAGGCGGCUCCUUAAGUCAGAUGUGAAAUCCCCGGGCUUAACCUGGGAACUGCGUUUGAAACUGAGGGGCUAGAGUGUGGAAGAGGGGGGUGGAAUUCCAGGUGUAGCAGUGAAAUGCGUAGAGAUCUGGAGGAACACCGAUGGCGAAGGCAGCCCCCUGGGCUAACACUGACGCUCAUGCACGAAAGCGUGGGGAGCAAACAGGAUUAGAUACCCUGGUAGUCCACGCCCU